Molecule: ribosomal RNA, 253 nt
Filed under: uncultured bacterium
Lineage: Bacteria
Description: partial 16S ribosomal RNA
Rfam family: Bacterial small subunit ribosomal RNA
Source: RNAcentral
GACAGAGGGUGCAAACGUUGUUCGGAAUUACUGGGCGUAAAGCGCGUGCAGGCUGCUCUGUGUGUCGGAUGUGAAAGCCCCGGGCUCAACCUGGGAAGUGCACUCGAAACUACAGAGCUGGAGUCUCGGAGAGGAUCGCGGAAUUCUCGGUGUAGAGGUGAAAUUCGUAGAUAUCGAGAGGAACACCGGUGGCGAAGGCGGCGAUCUGGACGAUGACUGACGCUGAGACGCGAAAGCGUGGGGAGCAAACAGG